ACCCCUAGCAAAUCUCAAAAAACCGUCUCAGUUCGGAUUGGGCUCUGCAACUCGAGCCCAUGAAGUUGGAAUCGCUAGUAAUCGUGGAUCAGCAUGCCACGGUGAAUACGUUCCCGGGCCUUGUACACACCGCCCGUCACACCAUGGGAGUUGGUUUUACCUGAAGACGGUGCGCUAACCCGCAAGGGAGGCAGCCGGCCACGGUAGGGUCAGCGACUGGGGUGAAGA
This 228-nucleotide ribosomal RNA is filed under the name uncultured Nitrobacter sp. Its description in RNAcentral is "partial 16S ribosomal RNA". It matches the Rfam family "Bacterial small subunit ribosomal RNA", at positions 1260 to 1486 of the family's 1533-position model. Lineage: Bacteria; Pseudomonadati; Pseudomonadota; Alphaproteobacteria; Hyphomicrobiales; Nitrobacteraceae. The record is from RNAcentral.